AGAACGAACGCUGGCGGCAUGCCUAAUACAUGCAAGUCGAACGAACUCUUCGGAGUUAGUGGCGCACGGGUGCGUAACGCGUGGGAAUCUGCCCCUUGGUUCGGAAUAACAGUUGGAAACGACUGCUAAUACCGGAUGAUGACGAAAGUCCAAAGAUUUAUCGCCAAGGGAUGAGCCCGCGUAGGAUUAGCUAGUUGGUGAGGUAAAGGCUCACCAAGGCAACGAUCCUUAGCUGGUCUGAGAGGAUGAUCAGCCACACUGGGACUGAGACACGGCCCAGACUCCUACGGGAGGCAGCAGUAGGGAAUAUUGGACAAUGGGCGAAAGCCUGAUCCAGCAAUGCCGCGUGAGUGAUGAAGCCUUAGGGUUGUAAAGCUCUUUUACCCGAGAUGAAUAAUAGACAGUAUCGGAAGAAAGUAACGCCCCGGACUAACCUCCGUGCCAGCAGCCGAC
This 453-nucleotide ribosomal RNA is filed under the name uncultured soil bacterium. RNAcentral's name for it is "bacterial SSU rRNA". It matches the Rfam family "Bacterial small subunit ribosomal RNA", at positions 26 to 518 of the family's 1533-position model. The record is from RNAcentral.